This 231-nucleotide long non-coding RNA is filed under the name Linum usitatissimum (flax). RNAcentral describes it as "long non-coding RNA (LUSI_LNC004883)". Lineage: Eukaryota; Viridiplantae; Streptophyta; Magnoliopsida; Malpighiales; Linaceae. The record is from RNAcentral.
UUGAUUGUGAUGAGGUUGAAUCCCUUGGAGACGACGUGGAAUUAUUGGAUGAGGUAUCAUGAUGACCUAUCAUUGGUCUUGAAAAUUCAAAAUCAUGUGGGCCAUUUGAAGAUCUUGACCAAUUAUUGGGAUAGAUGUCAAGACUUUGCAAAGAUACAUUAGAUUGAUGACUUUUGGCUCUAUCUCGGGAUGGUCCAAUAACAGGACCAUUACUACUUUGAUAUGAGAGCC